This is a long non-coding RNA of Zea mays, 1001 nucleotides long. RefSeq lists it as uncharacterized. Lineage: Eukaryota; Viridiplantae; Streptophyta; Magnoliopsida; Poales; Poaceae. The transcript is spliced from 3 exons. The record is from RefSeq and is a predicted model, not a curated record.
UGAUUGGAUAAUUUCCACAAACUGGCUAAAAGAAAGCGUCCGAGAAGGGCUCACCUCCCGCUCCAUCUCCUCUGUUGCCUCCUCGCGCUCUGCAGCGGCGUCUCGAUCCCCGAGGUCGUCGCCUUCUUCAACCACAUUGCCCCUUCCAUUGCUAAUUAGCUCCCUGUUAGUGAAACUGAAGAGUUUUCUAUCAGAAUCCUAUGUGCUUCUGAGCUCAUUGGUUCAGUUAUUGGGAAAAGUGGGGCUAAUGUUAGGCGGGUAGAGCAGCAGACUGGUGCUCGCAUUAAAGUUCAAGAGAUUGACAAAGAUGCUUCUGGAGAAAGGCUGAUCAUUGUUUCAUCUAACGAGAUACCAACUGAACCAAUAUCCCCAACAAUUGAGGCACUCAUUUUGCUCCAUGAUAAAGUAAGUGCACCCUCUGAGAAACACCAUUCAAGUACAACUGUACAAGGCUUGUUGUACCAUCAAACAAAGUUGGUUGUAUUCUUGGGGAAGGUGGGCAGGUGAUUACUGAAAUGAGAAGACGAACUGGGGCUGAAAUUCGAGUUUACUCGAAGGCAGAUAAACCAAAAUACUUGUCUUUUUGGUGAUGAACUUGUGCAGGUUGUAGGGCCUCCAGCUAUUGCAAGAGGAGCCCUCACAGAGAUUGCUUCAAGGCUUAGAACUAGGACUUUGAGAGAUACAAGUACUGCCAAUAAUCCUCCACCUUUUGCCCCUUCCGAUGAUCCUCCUGGAAUUCUGAACACAGUGUAUAUGAAUAUUCUGCUCGCCUCUCCUCUCCUAAAGGCCAUUUUAAAGGACGCGACUGCAGUAUAGUCAUGCUUCACUUUAACCUUAACUAUCUGAAUUUAUACUGCCUAUAGCUGGCUGGGAAAAAAGGCAUGGGUAUUUAUUUGUGAAGUUGUGACUAUCUGACCAUUCCAAGUAGUUGCUUACCUGAGAAAAUCUUGGAUGAGGACAACUGUGUUUUAUGUACUAAUAAUAGCCAGCAAACUCUGUUA